This 484-nucleotide ribosomal RNA is filed under the name uncultured bacterium. RNAcentral describes it as "partial 16S ribosomal RNA". It matches the Rfam family "Bacterial small subunit ribosomal RNA", at positions 30 to 507 of the family's 1533-position model. The record is from RNAcentral.
AUUGAACGCUGGCGGCAGGCCUAACACAUGCAAGUCGAGCGGGUGAAGGGCGCUUGCUCCUGGAUUCAGCGGCGGACGGGUGAGUAAUGCCUAGGAAUCUGCCUGGUAGUGGGGGAUAACGUCCGGAAACGGGCGCUAAUACCUCAUACGUCCUGAGGGAGAAAGUGGGGGGUCUUCGGACCUCACGCUAUCAGAUGAGCCUAGGUCGGAUUAGCUAGUUGGUGGGGUAAAGGCUUACCAAGGCGACGAUCCGUAACUGGUCUGAGAGGAUGAUCAGGCACACUGGAACUGAGACACGGUCCAGACCCCGACGGCAGGCAGCAGUGGGGAAUAUUAGACAAUGGGCGAAAGCCUGAUCCAGACAUGCCGCGUGUGUGAAGAAGGUCUCCGGAUUGUAAAGCACUUUAAGUUGGGAGAAAGGGCAGUAAGUUAAUACCUUGCUGUUUUGACGUUACCAACAGAAUAAGCGCCGGCUAACUACGUG